GGUGGUAUAGCUCAGCGGUAGAGCACAUGCUUACCAUGCAGGAGGUUCUGGGUUCAAGUCCCAGUACCUCCA
Non-coding RNA from Camelus dromedarius (Arabian camel), 72 nucleotides. Lineage: Eukaryota; Metazoa; Chordata; Mammalia; Artiodactyla; Camelidae. The record is from the annotation of a RefSeq genome assembly.